AAGCAUUGAACAGAUAAAUGUAAAAUUAAGGAGCUUGUGUUACAACACACUCUGAAUCCCUUCACUACAAAUUAAUAGGAUCGGCUCGAUAGGAGGUAUAAAAUUAUAAUAGUUAAUCAUCAUUAUAUCACUACUAUAAAUAUUUGCUUCACCACUACCUGGCUCAGGUUAUGCUCAGGUUUCUUGUUAUGCUCAAACUAAAGUGACAUAUGUUUGAAAUAGUUUAUUAAAAUUUACAAGUCUCAUAUUCAUGUUUAACAAGCAGAACAAAUACCAAAACCCCAUGCAAGAUCUAUAAAGAGCAGGAAAAACAGUCUUGACAUUUGGUGCUGAGGCAGCAAUGAAUAGCUUGUACAAGAAGCACACCAAGUUCUUCAAAGUUGUAGGACUUCUUUUCCAUUUCAGUGGAGCACUUCAAUUCACCGUUGGAAUAGUCUUCGAUUACCAGCUCAUAGUCCCAGGCCAAACGUUUUAUCUCUUACAAAGGCUUCAAUACAUGACAUAUUGGAAUUUGUAUCUUCAAUGGUUCUAUUUUACUAAAAGGACUAUUAAUGAUAUUAUGACAUUUGAUGACAAUGAUGAGGAUGAAACGCCUAAAUGUGUUGAUUAUAUUAAAACAUCAUUGGCAAUACCUAAUGCUCUGGUAUAUACUUUUUUUUUGGCCCAUGCUGAUACAAGACUGUCUCCAUUCUUUUUUGGACUAUCUACACUCUAGAUCCAUCAUUGAUCCAUGGUGGAGAGCCUUUGCCUAGAUAUCUCAACUUUGUCGUACAUACGAGUGUUUCUCUAUUAAAUUUGAUAGAAUUAGCCAUUGUAAAGCAACGUAUCUGCCCUCAGAAGAAAUGCCUAUGGAUCAACUUUUGUUUUAGCCUUGUAUUCACAGCAUGGUUUAUUGCAUACAACAUGACAGAAAACAAGUGGACAUACCCAUUUUUGGACCAUCUAGAUAUUCUGAGGAAAGCAGUAUUUUUUAGCAGUUGUUGUUUAAUGAAUUUUUCACUGUGUAUUCUUGGUCAAAACCUUCAAUAUCUUAUUUGGGGGUAAUAACAUAUCAAAAUAUAUAACAAUAAACACAAUAUAAACUAUUAA
This is an RNA transcript of Cimex lectularius (bed bug), 1089 nucleotides long. It is a transcript of the gene named androgen-dependent TFPI-regulating protein-like, with no coding region annotated. Lineage: Eukaryota; Metazoa; Arthropoda; Insecta; Hemiptera; Cimicidae. The transcript is spliced from 4 exons. The record is from RefSeq and is a predicted model, not a curated record.